GCUUGAAACAACAACAAAAAAUGUCCAUAUCUAUAUUAAAAAUAACCCAACGAUUAACACUAUAACUCAGAAAAUAAAUUUGGUAGCAUGACAUUGCAUAAAAGACUAACAAACAGCUGCAGUGUAUGGGUGCAGCAAAGGUGUACUGGAAGAUCUGAGUAUGAUGACCUUAUUCAGACAUUCCUACAAUGUCAGGAAUGUCUGAACAAGUUCAGAAGUGCCUUUUCCCCGGCUGCCACUGUUGGUGAUAGGCCGAUAAAGCCGUUGAGUUUAACGUUCGACGUUAGAAGUUAAAUUACUUUCAAUUUCCAGUCCAUGUCCACGUCGGCCUAUGUAUCUGUAAACAGCUGUCCCAACUAUUGAAAACUGACGUUAUCAACACUAGUGUAUGGAAAUGUAAUACAGAAA
Molecule: long non-coding RNA, 408 nt
Organism: Sander lucioperca (pikeperch)
Lineage: Eukaryota; Metazoa; Chordata; Actinopteri; Perciformes; Percidae
Exons: 2
Source: RefSeq, a predicted model, not a curated record